RNAcentral lists this ribosomal RNA (253 nucleotides) under uncultured bacterium. Its description in RNAcentral is "partial 16S ribosomal RNA". It matches the Rfam family "Bacterial small subunit ribosomal RNA", at positions 524 to 776 of the family's 1533-position model. The record is from RNAcentral.
UACAGAGGGUGCGAGCGUUGUUCGGAAUUAUUGGGCGUAAAGGGCGCGUAGGCGGUGCGGUAAGUCACUUGUGAAAUCUCCCGGCUCAACCGGGAGGGUGCGCCGAAUACUGAGGGACUAGAGUGCGGGAGAGGAAAGUGGAGUUCCUGGUGUAGCGGUGAAAUGCGCAGAUAUCAGGAGGAACACCGGUGGCGAAGGCGGUUCUCUGGGCAUGUCCUGACGCUGAGGAGCGAAAGUGUGGGGAGCGAACAGG